RNA transcript from Hirundo rustica (Barn swallow), 1443 nucleotides. It is a transcript of the gene named kinesin-like protein KIF13B, with no coding region annotated. NCBI's taxonomy places the organism in Eukaryota, Metazoa, Chordata, Aves, Passeriformes, Hirundinidae. The transcript is spliced from 3 exons. The record is from RefSeq and is a predicted model, not a curated record.
GGCUCUCCCUCGGCAGACGGAAGCCGGGCAGGGACGAGGGAGCCGGGAAGGCUGGAUCGGCAGGAUGGGGGACUCCAAAGUGAAGGUGGCGGUGCGUGUCCGCCCCAUGAACCGGCGAGAGCUUGAUCUGCAUACAAAAUGUGUGGUGGAUGUGGAUGCAAACAAGGUUAUUCUUCACCCCGUAAACACCAACCUUUCAAAAGGAGAUGCCAGCUGCAGGUUCUGAAGCACUCGUGGGAUUAUUGACCUGCCUGCAGACAGCGUUUGGAGGUUGGUGGUGGUAACUGCUCAGCAUCCAAACCUUCCGGAAAACUCUUCUAGAGCUGGCAAAGGCUUUUGACUGGGAUGUCUCCGAUGAGUUGACUUCUGCUGCAAACAGAAAGUAACGUUCCCACAGUGGUACCCAGCAGUAGGGGCCACUUCCCAGAGCUGGGUCGUUUUCUCAAAGAAACCUCAACGCAGCCACAAAACAAAACCAAAACCCCUCUUGGUGCCAUGCUGAAGCUAUUAGAAUGAAUGUCUUUAAUAUUUGAGUGGAAUUUAGCUUUUAUUGAACCAUUUAUGGCAAUUUUGAGGGAACUGUCUCAACAGCUUUGGUUUUUGAGCCUGCCUGUGUCUGAAGCUCUCAGUAACAGGUUGUUGAAGCUUCAAGGAAGUUUUAAUUGUGAUGUUGUUUUAAUUGUUCUCUUGGCUUGUUAAAUCUACAAAACAGACAAAUUCUUUUAUUUUAAGAGGAGUCUCUCUCCCUCUGUCUGUCUCUAUAUAUCACUGUUUUUAUGCUCAACCAAUUUUGUUUUGGGCAUGUUUGAGUUUGAACUCCAAAAUCUUGAUCUCAGAUUAAUAUAAUGAGAUCAGAAAGAGAUGCAAGAGAAUAUAUUUCCCACUCUCCAACAUGAUUGAUUAGUAAUAACUAGGGUAACUUUAUGCUUUACAGCUCUCACAAUUUCCGUUGCAGUCAUUUUGAUGGUGUAGAUGCAUCCCCCAGGCUGAUUUGAAAUAAAAUAAUCUGAAUGUUCAGGGUUGAGCUGUUUUGGCAGGACAGGGUUUGAUGUUCUCCUAAGAAGGUGGAUGAUGCCUCGUCAUAUUAUCAGUGAUUGUAUGGUCAGCUGGAAGGCACAGGCAGAUAAUACCGCAUACAACCUUCUAAUUUCCUUGGGUUUGGAAAACAGAAUAGGAAAACUGUCAGGGUUUGUUUCCUAAAUUAUAUACAGGCUUAGUAUGAAAAGUAAAGAAAAGGAGAAACUUCUUAGUAUCUUACAGUCAUUGUCCUGAGUGAAUAAGUUUUUAGAGUUACUUGAGUGCAUCUGUUUGAAGUAAUUUGAACUUUUUUGUUGCGGUGGUGUUAAUUUUAGGAUGGCACUGUUGCACUUGAUGCUACCUUACACUCUACUCUGAUUUUGUCACCAGCUCUGUAGUCUGAAAUAAAGCUACUGAACGCAGAGG